RNAcentral lists this transfer RNA (77 nucleotides) under Aeromonas sp. RNAcentral describes it as "tRNA-Val". It matches the Rfam family "tRNA". From Rfam's summary of the family: Transfer RNA (tRNA) molecules are approximately 80 nucleotides in length. Their secondary structure includes four short double-helical elements and three loops (D, anti-codon, and T loops). The record is from RNAcentral. Lineage: Bacteria; Pseudomonadati; Pseudomonadota; Gammaproteobacteria; Aeromonadales; Aeromonadaceae. RNAcentral also lists the same sequence under 4 other names.
GCGUCCUUAGCUCAGCUGGUUAGAGCACCACCUUGACAUGGUGGGGGUCGGUGGUUCGAAUCCACUAGGACUCACCA